GCUUAACACAUGCAAGUCGAACGGAAAGGCCCUGCUUUUGUGGGGUGCUCGAGUGGCGAACGGGUGAGUAACACGUGAGUAACCUGCCCUUGACUUUGGGAUAACUUCAGGAAACUGGGGCUAAUACCGGAUAGGAGCUCCUGCUGCAUGGUGGGGGUUGGAAAGUUUCGGCGGUUGGGGAUGGACUCGCGGCUUAUCAGCUUGUUGGUGGGGUAGUGGCUUACCAAGGCUUUGACGGGUAGCCGGCCUGAGAGGGUGACCGGCCACAUUGGGACUGAGAUACGGCCCAGACUCCUACGGGAGGCAGCAGUGGGGAAUAUUGCACAAUGGGCGGAAGCCUGAUGCAGCAACGCCGCGUGCGGGAUGACGGCCUUCGGGUUGUAAACCGCUUUCGCCUGUGACGAAGCGUGAGUGACGGUAAUGGGUAAAGAAGCACCGGCUAACUACGUGCCAGCAGCCGCGGUGAUACGUAGGGUGCGAGCGUUGUCCGGAUUUAUUGGGCGUAAAGGGCUCGUAGGUGGUUGAUCGCGUCGGAAGUGUAAUCUUGGGGCUUAACCCUGAGCGUGCUUUCGAUACGGGUUGACUUGAGGAAGGUAGGGGAGAAUGGAAUUCCUGGUGGAGCGGUGGAAUGCGCAGAUAUCAGGAGGAACACCAGUGGCGAAGGCGGUUCUCUGGGCCUUUCCUGACGCUGAGGAGCGAAAGCGUGCGGAGCGAACAGGCUUAGAUACCCUGGUAGUCCACGCUGUAAACGGUGGGUACUAGGUGUGGCGUCCAUUCCACGGGUUCCGUGCCGUAGCUAACGCUUUAAGUACCCCGCCUGGGGAGUACGGCCCGCAGGCUAAAACUCAAAGGAAAUUGACGGGGCCCCGCACAAGCGGCGGAGCAUGCGGAUUAAUUCGAUGCAACGCGUAGAACCUUACCUGGGUUUGACAUGGAUCGGGAGUGCUCAGAGAUGGGGUGUGCCUCUUUUGGGGUCGGUUCACAGGUGGUGCAUGGCUGUCGUCAGCUCGUGUCGUGAGAUGUUGGGUUAAGUCCCGCAACGAGCGCAACCCUUGUUCACUGUUGCCAGCACGUUAUGGUGGGGACUCAGUGGAGACCGCCGGGGUCAACUCGGAGGAAGGUGGGGAUGACGUCAAGUCAUCAUGCCCCUUAUGUCCAGGGCUUCACGCAUGCUACAAUGGCUGGUACAGAGAGUGGCGAGCCUGUGAGGGUGAGCGAAUCUCGGAAAGCCGGUCUCAGUUCGGAUUGGGGUCUGCAACUCGACCUCAUGAAGUCGGAGUCGCUAGUAAUCGCAGAUCAGCAACGCUGCGGUGAAUACGUUCCCGGGGCUUGUACACACCGCCCGUCAAGUCAUGAAAGUUGGUAACACCCGAAGCCGGUGGCCUAACCGUUGUGGGGGAGCCGUCGAAGGUGGGACUGGUGAUUAGGACUAAGU
Molecule: ribosomal RNA, 1435 nt
Filed under: uncultured organism
Description: 16S ribosomal RNA
Rfam family: Bacterial small subunit ribosomal RNA
Source: RNAcentral